RNAcentral lists this ribosomal RNA (1372 nucleotides) under uncultured bacterium. Its description in RNAcentral is "bacterial SSU rRNA". It matches the Rfam family "Bacterial small subunit ribosomal RNA", at positions 28 to 1381 of the family's 1533-position model. The record is from RNAcentral.
GAUGAACGCUGGCGGCGUGCCUAAUACAUGCAAGUCGAGCGAACGGACGAGAAGCUUGCUUCUCUGAUGUUAGCGGCGGACGGGUGAGUAACACGUGGAUAACCUACCUAUAAGACUGGGAUAACUUCGGGAAACCGGAGCUAAUACCGGAUAAUAUUUUGAACCGCAUGGUUCAAAAGUGAAAGACGGUCUUGCUGUCACUUAUAGAUGGAUCCGCGCUGCAUUAGCUAGUUGGUAAGGUAACGGCUUACCAAGGCAACGAUGCAUAGCCGACCUGAGAGGGUGAUCGGCCACACUGGAACUGAGACACGGUCCAGACUCCUACGGGAGGCAGCAGUAGGAAAUCUUCCGCAAUGGGCGAAAGCCUGACGGAGCAACGCCGCGUGAGUGAUGAAGGUCUUCGGAUCGUAAAACUCUGUUAUUAGGGAAGAACAUAUGUGUAAGUAACUGUGCACAUCUUGACGGUACCUAAUCAGAAAGCCACGGCUAACUACGUGCCAGCAGCCGCGGUAAUACGUAGGUGGGCAGCGUUAUCCGGAAUUAUUGGGCGUAAAGCGCGCGUAGGCGGUUUUUUAGUCUGAUGUGAAAGCCCGCGGCUCAACCCGUGGAGGGUCAUUGGAAACUGGAAAACUUGAGUGCAGAAGAGGAAAGUGGAAUUCCAUGUGUAGCGGUGAAAUGCGCAGAGAUAUGGAGGGACACCAGUGGCGAAGGCGACUUUCUGGUCUGUAACUGACGCUGAUGUGCGAAAGCGUGGGGAUCAAACAGGAUUAGAUACCCUGGUAGUCCACGCCGUAAACGAUGAGUGCUAAGUGUUAGGGGGUUUCCGCCCCUUAGUGCUGCAGCUAACGCAUUAAGCACUCCGCCUGGGGAGUACGACCGCAAGGUUGAAACUCAAAGGAAUUGACGGGGACCCGCACAAGCGGUGGAGCAUGUGGUUUAAUUCGAAGCAACGCGAAGAACCUUACCAAAUCUUGACAUCCUUUGACAACUCUAGAGAUAGAGCUUUCCCCUUCGGGGGACAAAGUGACAGGUGGUGCAUGGUUGUCGUCAGCUCGUGUCGUGAGAUGUUGGGUUAAGUCCCGCAACGAGCGCAACCCUUAAGCUUAGUUGCCAUCAUUAAGUUGGGCACUCUAAGUUGACUGCCGGUGACAAACCGGAGGAAGGUGGGGAUGACGUCAAAUCAUCAUGCCCCUUAUGAUUUGGGCUACACACGUGCUACAAUGGACAAUACAAAGGGCAGCGAAACCGUGAGGUCAAGCAAAUCCCAUAAAGUUGUUCUCAGUUCGGAUUGUAGUCUGCAACUCGACUACAUGAAGCUGGAAUCGCUAGUAAUCGUAGAUCAGCAUGCUACGGUGAAUACGUUCCCGGGUCU